GACGAACGCUGGCGGCGUGCUUAACACAUGCAAGUCGAACGGAAAGGCCCCUUUGGGGGUACUCGAGUGGCGAACGGGUGAGUAACACGUGAGUAACCUGCCCUUGACUUCGGGAUAACUUCAGGAAACUGGGGCUAAUACCGGAUAGGAAUCCUUGCUGCAUGGUGGGGGUUGGAAAGCUUCGGCGGUUUUGGAUGGACUCGCGGCUUAUCAGCUUGUUGGUGGGGUAGUGGCUUACCAAGGCUUUGACGGGUAGCCGGCCUGAGAGGGCGACCGGCCACAUUGGGACUGAGAUACGGCCCAGACUCCUACGGGAGGCAGCAGUGGGGAAUAUUGCACAAUGGGCGGAAGCCUGAUGCAGCAACGCCGCGUGCGGGAUGAAGGCCUUCGGGUUGUAAACCGCUUUCAGCAGGGGCGAAGCUUGUGGUGACGGUACCUGCAGAAGAAGCACCGGCUAACUACGUG
RNAcentral lists this ribosomal RNA (465 nucleotides) under uncultured bacterium. Its description in RNAcentral is "partial 16S ribosomal RNA". It matches the Rfam family "Bacterial small subunit ribosomal RNA", at positions 28 to 507 of the family's 1533-position model. The record is from RNAcentral.